GCCGAAGUGGUGAAAUUGGUAGACGCGCACGGUUCAGGGCCGUGUGGGGGCAACCCCGUGUGGGUUCGAGUCCCACCUUCGGCACCA
RNAcentral lists this transfer RNA (87 nucleotides) under Gemmatimonadota bacterium. RNAcentral's name for it is "tRNA-Leu". It matches the Rfam family "tRNA". Rfam says of the family: Transfer RNA (tRNA) molecules are approximately 80 nucleotides in length. Their secondary structure includes four short double-helical elements and three loops (D, anti-codon, and T loops). The record is from RNAcentral. Lineage: Bacteria; Pseudomonadati; Gemmatimonadota.